CUAGAUGACCUUUUAAAGUCCUUUCCAGCUCUACUUCUUAUAAUUUUAUAUGAAGAUAGGAGUAGGUUUUGCAACUUUGCUUAUCUCAAAUAGUAGCCAGUUCCACGAGGAGAUCUAUUUGAAGUGGUUCACCACACCAUGGCCACAACUUCAAAAGUGUCAGAUGAUCAUCAGACAUCACUCCUGUCUAGCAGAGAAAUGCAAACAUCCUUACCAUCAAGAGAGCUAAGUGGGGUAGUACUGAAGCAUGCCAGGCAAGGAAGUCACUUCAAAGUAAAGCUGAAACACGUGAAGAAGUUGUGGGGGAGAGAGCACUAGGAGGAGGAAAUUAGUUUGACCU
Molecule: long non-coding RNA, 340 nt
Organism: Corapipo altera (White-ruffed manakin)
Lineage: Eukaryota; Metazoa; Chordata; Aves; Passeriformes; Pipridae
Exons: 4
Source: RefSeq, a predicted model, not a curated record